UACGAAGGGGGCUAGCGUUGCUCGGAAUCACUGGGCGUAAAGGGUGCGUAGGCGGGUUCUUUAAGUCAGGGGUGAAAUCCUGGAGCUCAACUCCAGAACUGCCUUUGAUACUGAAGAUCUUGAGUUCGGGAGAGGUGAGUGGAACUGCGAGUGUAGAGGUGAAAUUCGUAGAUAUUCGCAAGAACACCAGUGGCGAAGGCGGCUCACUGGCCCGAUACUGACGCU
Molecule: ribosomal RNA, 225 nt
Filed under: uncultured bacterium
Lineage: Bacteria
Description: partial 16S ribosomal RNA
Rfam family: Bacterial small subunit ribosomal RNA
Source: RNAcentral